UUCUCUGUGUAGCUCUGGCUGUCCUGGAACUCACUCUGUAGACCAAGCAGGCCUUGAACUCAGAGAUCUGCCUGACUCUGCCUCUCAGAGUGCUGGGAUUAAAGGCCUGCUCCACCACUGUC
Molecule: microRNA precursor, 122 nt
Filed under: Cricetulus griseus (Chinese hamster)
Lineage: Eukaryota; Metazoa; Chordata; Mammalia; Rodentia; Cricetidae
Description: miRNA (ENSCGRG00000021550.1)
Source: RNAcentral